AAUGAAAUGCCUGAUUAAAGGGCUACUUCGAUAAAGUAAUUCAUGUUAGAUUAACUUUCAUUA
This 63-nucleotide transfer RNA is filed under the name Libiocoris heissi. Its description in RNAcentral is "tRNA-Ile". The record is from RNAcentral. Lineage: Eukaryota; Metazoa; Arthropoda; Insecta; Hemiptera; Aradidae.